Molecule: ribosomal RNA, 1356 nt
Filed under: uncultured bacterium
Lineage: Bacteria
Description: bacterial SSU rRNA
Rfam family: Bacterial small subunit ribosomal RNA
Source: RNAcentral
CCUGGCUCACGAUGAACGCUGGCGGCGCGCCUAACACAUGCAAGUCGAACGAGCGAGAGAGAGCUUGCUUUCUCAAGCGAGUGGCGAACGGGUGAGUAACGCGUGAGGAACCUGCCUCAAAGAGGGGGACAACAGUUGGAAACGACUGCUAAUACCGCAUAAGCCCACGGCUCGGCAUCGAGCAGAGGGAAAAGGAGCAAUCCGCUUUGAGAUGGCCUCGCGUCCGAUUAGCUAGUUGGUGAGGUAACGGCCCACCAAGGCGACGAUCGGUAGCCGGACUGAGAGGUUGAACGGCCACAUUGGGACUGAGACACGGCCCAGACUCCUACGGGAGGCAGCAGUGGGGAAUAUUGCACAAUGGGGGAAACCCUGAUGCAGCGACGCCGCGUGGAGGAAGAAGGUCUUCGGAUUGUAAACUCCUGUUGUUGAGGAAGAUAAUGACGGUACUCAACAAGGAAGUGACGGCUAACUACGUGCCAGCAGCCGCGGUAAAACGUAGGUCACAAGCGUUGUCCGGAAUUACUGGGUGUAAAGGGAGCGCAGGCGGGAAGACAAGUUGGAAGUGAAAUCCAUGGGCUCAACCCAUGAACUGCUUUCAAAACUGUUUUUCUUGAGUAGUGCAGAGGUAGGCGGAAUUCCCGGUGUAGCGGUGGAAUGCGUAGAUAUCGGGAGGAACACCAGUGGCGAAGGCGGCCUACUGGGCACCAACUGACGCUGAGGCUCGAAAGUGUGGGUAGCAAACAGGAUUAGAUACCCUGGUAGUCCACACUGUAAACGAUGAUUACUAGGUGUUGGAGGAUUGACCCCUUCAGUGCCGCAGUUAACACAAUAAGUAAUCCACCUGGGGAGUACGACCGCAAGGUUGAAACUCAAAGGAAUUGACGGGGGCCCGCACAAGCAGUGGAGUAUGUGGUUUAAUUCGACGCAACGCGAAGAACCUUACCAAGUCUUGACAUCCCUUGACGAUGCUGGAAACAGUAUUUCUCUUCGGAGCAAGGAGACAGGUGGUGCAUGGUUGUCGUCAGCUCGUGUCGUGAGAUGUUGGGUUAAGUCCCGCAACGAGCGCAACCCUUAUGGUCAGUUACUACGCAAGAGGACUCUGGCCAGACUGCCGUUGACAAAACGGAGGAAGGUGGGGAUGACGUCAAAUCAUCAUGCCCUUUAUGACUUGGGCUACACACGUACUACAAUGGCGUUAAACAAAGAGAAGCAAGACCGCGAGGUGGAGCAAAACUCAGAAACAACGUCCCAGUUCGGACUGCAGGCUGCAACUCGCCUGCACGAAGUCGGAAUUGCUAGUAAUCGCAGAUCAGCAUGCUGCGGUGAAUACGUUCCCGGGCCUUGUACACACCGCCC